GAUGGGCGAAGCUGAUCCUUCAUGCCGGUGAGUGAAGAAGGCCUUCGGGUUGUAAAGCUCUUUCGGCAGGAACGGAAUGGUUCGUGCUAAUACCACGAAUUGAUGACGGUACCUGAAGAAGAAGCACCGGCUAACUACGUGCCAGCAGCCGCGGUAAUACGUAGGGUGCAGGCGUUAAUCGGAAUUACUGGGCGUAAAGCGUGCGCAGGCGGUUUCUUAAGUCAGAUGUGAAAGCCCCGGGCUUAACCUGGGAACUGCGUUUGAAACUGGGAGACUUGAGUGUGGCAGAGGGGGGUGGAAUUCCACGUGUAGCGGUGAAAUGCGUAGAUAUGUGGAGGAACACCGAUGGCGAAGGCAGCCCCCUGGGCUAACACUGACGCUCAUGCACGAAAGCGUGGGGAGCAAACAGGAUUAGAUACCCUGGUAGUCCACGCCCUAAACUAUGUCAACUGGUUGUCGGGGGAUUAACUCCCUUGGUAACGAAGCUAACGCGUGAAGUUGACCGCCUGGGGAGUACGGCCGCAAGGUUAAAACUCAAAGGAAUUGACGGGGACCCGCACAAGCGGUGGAUUAUGUGGAUUAAUUCGAUGCAACGCGAAAAACCUUACCUACCCUUGACAUGUACGGAAUCCUCCAGAGAUGGAGGGGUGCCCGAACGGGAACCGUAACACAGGUGCUGCAUGGUUGUCGUCAGCUCGUGUCGUGAGAUG
This 710-nucleotide ribosomal RNA is filed under the name uncultured bacterium. Its description in RNAcentral is "bacterial SSU rRNA". It matches the Rfam family "Bacterial small subunit ribosomal RNA", at positions 370 to 1074 of the family's 1533-position model. The record is from RNAcentral.